CUUCAUAGUUGUUUCCGCGGAUCGCAAAAAAGCAUGACACGAACUGAAUGGUUAUGUUAGAGGAUUAUCUACACAAUUAACAUAUCUUACCAAGGCCAUAGGAUGAAGGUGUGGGGCCAGGAUGGAGUUGUGGAGAGAUGGAGGUGUGGGGCCAGGAUGGAGAUGUUGAGCCAGCAUGUAGUUGUGGGGAGAUGGAGGUGUGGGGCCAGGAUGGAGUUGUGGAGAGAUGGAGGUGUGGGGCCAGGAUGGAGAUGUUGAGCCAGCAUGUAGUUGUGGGGAGAUGGAGGUGUGGGGCCAGGAUGGAGUUGUGGGGAGAUGGAGGUGUUGGGCCAGGAUGGAGGUGUGGGGCCAGGAUGGAGGUGUUGGGCCAAGAUGGAGGUGUGGGGCCAGGAUGGAGGUGUGGGGAGAUGGAGGUGUUGGGACAGAAUGGAGGUUUGGGGCCAGGAUGAAGGUGUUGGGCCAGAAUGGAGUUGUGGGUUCAGGAUGGAGGUGUGGGGCCAGGAUGGAGGUGUGGGGCCAGGAUGGAGGUGUGGGGCCAGGAUGGAGGUGUUGGGCCAGGAUGGAGGUGUGGGGCCAGGAUGGAGGUGUGGGGUCAGGAUGAAGGUGUGGGGCCAGGAUGGAGAUGUUGGGAGAUAUCUGUCUAUUCUAUUAAACUAUUGCGAUCUAUUGUGUUACCCAGAACCACUGAUCUCUCCAUAUCUACAGUACUGUCACCCAGAACCACUGAUCUCUCCAUAUCUACAGUACUGUCACCCAGGACAGGAUAAAAGCAGGCUUAUUAUGGAGUUGUCCACAGACACAGUCUCCCAUUGUCAUUCUGCACCACCAGUAAUCUGCUAUGGUAAAGAUUAC
RNAcentral lists this long non-coding RNA (852 nucleotides) under Salmo salar (Atlantic salmon). Its description in RNAcentral is "lncRNA (ENSSSAG00000097798.1)". The record is from RNAcentral. Lineage: Eukaryota; Metazoa; Chordata; Actinopteri; Salmoniformes; Salmonidae.